This 223-nucleotide long non-coding RNA is filed under the name Prunus persica (peach). RNAcentral's name for it is "long non-coding RNA (PPER_LNC007141)". Lineage: Eukaryota; Viridiplantae; Streptophyta; Magnoliopsida; Rosales; Rosaceae. The record is from RNAcentral.
GGGCGCAAAACAUUCAAAACUGUGAGUGGACAAAAAUAAAGGUCUAGAAAAUAGCAUAUGAACAUACUAAAAACAGUUAUGCAAAACUGAAUUUUCCUCUUCAUUAUAUUCGUACUAAAAUCAAUGCAUUCACAUAAUUAUAUACGUAUAUGCCAAUCAUACUCAAUGUCAAUAAAACUCUCUUAAAAGCAUUGAAAUCAAUUUAAAACUACCACCUAGGUGU